GAGUUUGAUCUUGGCUCAGAUUGAACGCUAGCGGGAUGCUUUACACAUGCAAGUCGAACGGCAGCACGAGAGAGCUUGCUCUCUUGGUGGCGAGUGGCGGACGGGUGAGUAAUAUAUCGGAACGUGCCCAGUAGCGGGGGAUAACUACUCGAAAGAGUGGCUAAUACCGCAUACGCCCUACGGGGGAAAGGGGGGAUCGCAAGACCUCUCACUAUUGGAGCGGCCGAUAUCGGAUUAGCUAGUUGGUGGGUAAAGGCUCACCAAGGCAACGAUCCGUAGCUGGUUUGAGAGGACGACCAGCCACACUGGGACUGA
RNAcentral lists this ribosomal RNA (315 nucleotides) under uncultured bacterium. RNAcentral describes it as "bacterial SSU rRNA". It matches the Rfam family "Bacterial small subunit ribosomal RNA", at positions 9 to 322 of the family's 1533-position model. The record is from RNAcentral.